This is a long non-coding RNA of Temnothorax curvispinosus, 406 nucleotides long. RefSeq lists it as uncharacterized. The record is from RefSeq and is a predicted model, not a curated record. Lineage: Eukaryota; Metazoa; Arthropoda; Insecta; Hymenoptera; Formicidae. The transcript is spliced from 4 exons.
AUAAUAUGACUCUGAUGAUGAAACCUCUUGCCACAAACGCGACACACAUAUGGACGUUCAUUUGUGUGCGUUCUACUUUAACGAUAUGUGAAUAUCCUGUGCCAAUUUACGCAUCUGUGACCCAAACUGUUUUGCGCCGACUACAUAACUGCGAUGCAAAUCCUUCAUUGUGGCCAACGGUGCUGUAGACUUUCGGACAAAUCUCACAGACGAACUUUUGCGGACCGUCCGAGCUGUGAUUGUUUGUGAUAUGCUUAUUCAAAGUAGAUUUCCAAGCAAAGGACACCCCGCAAUCUUUACAAUGAAAUUUUUGCUGAUCGGCGUUGCUGAAAUUUUCUAGAUUUUCCUCAUUGUGCAGCAAGCCCUCCUGAUUCUGCAUAGCGUCGGGAGUACAUACUUCGUUAGC